GUUUGAUCAUGGUUCAGGACGAACGCUGGCGGCGUGCCUAAUACAUGCAAGUCGAGCGAGCCGAACUAAUUGAUUACCUUCGGGUAUGAAGUUAGGGAAGCGAGCGGCGGAUGGGUGAGUAACACGUGGGUAACCUACCCUAUAGUCUGGGAUACCACUUGGAAACAGGUGCUAAUACCGGAUAAAAGGAGAGAUCACAUGAUUUCUUUUUGAAAGGCGGCGUAAGCUGUCGCUAAAGGAUGGACCUGCGGUGCAUUAGCUAGUUGGUAAGGUAACGGCUUACCAAGGCAACGAUGCAUAGCCGAGUUGAGAGACUGAUCGGCCACAUUGGGACUGAGACACGGCCCAAACUCCUACGGGAGGCAGCAGUAGGGAAUCUUCCACAAUGGACGCAAGUCUGAUGGAGCAACGCCGCGUGAGUGAAGAAGGUUUUCGGAUCGUAAA
RNAcentral lists this ribosomal RNA (444 nucleotides) under uncultured Lactobacillus sp. Its description in RNAcentral is "bacterial SSU rRNA". It matches the Rfam family "Bacterial small subunit ribosomal RNA", at positions 11 to 429 of the family's 1533-position model. The record is from RNAcentral. Lineage: Bacteria; Bacillati; Bacillota; Bacilli; Lactobacillales; Lactobacillaceae.